RNAcentral lists this ribosomal RNA (449 nucleotides) under uncultured bacterium. Its description in RNAcentral is "partial 16S ribosomal RNA". It matches the Rfam family "Bacterial small subunit ribosomal RNA", at positions 29 to 523 of the family's 1533-position model. The record is from RNAcentral.
AACGAACGCUGGCGGCAUGCCUAAUACAUGCAAGUCGAACGAGAUCUUCGGAUCUAGUGGCGCACGGGUGCGUAACGCGUGGGAAUCUGCCCUUGGGUUCGGAAUAACUUCGGGAAACUGAAGCUAAUACCGGAUGAUGACGUAAGUCCAAAGAUUUAUCGCCCAAGGAUGAGCCCGCGUAGGAUUAGGUAGUUGGUGAGGUAAAGGCUCACCAAGCCUACGAUCCUUAGCUGGUCUGAGAGGAUGAUCAGCCACACUGGGACUGAGACACGGCCCAGACUCCUACGGGAGGCAGCAGUAGGGAAUAUUGGACAAUGGGGGCAACCCUGAUCCAGCAAUGCCGCGUGAGCGAUGAAGGCCUUAGGGUUGUAAAGCUCUUUCGCCCGGGAUGAUAAUGACAGUACCGGGAGAAUAAGCCCCGGCUAACUCCGUGCCAGCCGCCGCGGUAA